RNAcentral lists this ribosomal RNA (914 nucleotides) under bacterium symbiont of Siboglinum sp. RNAcentral's name for it is "bacterial SSU rRNA". It matches the Rfam family "Bacterial small subunit ribosomal RNA", at positions 8 to 916 of the family's 1533-position model. The record is from RNAcentral.
AGAGUUUGAUCAUGGCUCAGAUUGAACGCUGGCGGCAGGCUUAACACAUGCAAGUCGAGCGGGGAAAAGUAGCUUGCUACUUGACCUAGCGGCGGACGGGUGAGUAAUGCUUAGGAAUCUGCCUAUUAGUGGGGGACAACAUCUCGAAAGGGAUGCUAAUACCGCAUACGUCCUACGGGAGAAAGCAGGGGACCUUCGGGCCUUGCGCUAAUAGAUGAGCCUAAGUCGGAUUAGCUAGUUGGUGGGGUAAAGGCCUACCAAGGCGACGAUCUGUAGCGGGUCUGAGAGGAUGAUCCGCCACACUGGGACUGAGACACGGCCCAGACUCCUACGGGAGGCAGCAGUGGGGAAUAUUGGACAAUGGGGGGAACCCUGAUCCAGCCAUGCCGCGUGUGUGAAGAAGGCCUUUUGGUUGUAAAGCGCUUUAAGCGAGGAGGAGGCUACCGAGAUUAAUACUCUUGGAUAGUGGACGUUACUCGCAGAAUAAGCACCGGCUAACUCUGUGCCAGCAGCCGCGGUAAUACAGAGGGUGCAAGCGUUAAUCGGAUUUACUGGGCGUAAAGCGCGCGUAGGUGGCCAAUUAAGUCAAAUGUGAAAUCCCCGAGCUUAACUUGGGAAUUGCAUUCGAUACUGGUUGGCUAGAGUAUGGGAGAGGAUGGUAGAAUUCCAGGUGUAGCGGUGAAAUGCGUAGAGAUCUGGAGGAAUACCGAUGGCGAAGGCAGCCAUCUGGCCUAAUACUGACACUGAGGUGCGAAAGCAUGGGGAGCAAACAGGAUUAGAUACCCUGGUAGUCCAUGCCGUAAACGAUGUCUACUAGCCGUUGGGGCCUUUGAGGCUUUAGUGGCGCAGCUAACGCGAUAAGUAGACCGCCUGGGGAGUACGGUCGCAAGACUAAAACUCAAAUGAAUUGACGG